UCGGAAAGAAAGAUGUGAAAUCCCAGGGCUUAACCUUGGAACUGCAUUUUUAACUACCGGGCUAGAGUGUGUCAGAGGGAGGUGGAAUUCCGCGUGUAGCAGUGAAAUGCGUAGAUAUGCGGAGGAACACCGAUGGCGAAGGCAGCCUCCUGGGAUAACACUGACGCUCAUGCACGAAAGUGUGGGGAGCAAACAGGAUUAGAUACCCUGGUAGUCCACGCCCUAAACGAUGUCAACUAGCUGUUGGGGCCUUCGGGCCUUGGUAGCGCAGCUAACGCGUGAAGUUGACCGCCUGGGGAGUACGGUCGCAAGAUUAAAACUCAAAGGAAUUGACGGGGACCCGCACAAGCGGUGGAUGAUGUGGAUUAAUUCGAUGCAACGCGAAAAACCUUACCUACCCUUGACAUGUCUGGAAUCCCGAAGAGAUUUGGGAGUGCUCGCAAGAGAACCGGAACACAGGUGCUGCCAUGGCUGUCGUCAGCUCGUGUCGUGAGAUGUUGGGUUAAGUCCCGCAACGAGCGCAACCCUUGUCAUUAGUUGCUACGAAAGGGCACUCUAAUGAGACUGCCGGUGACAAACCGGAGGAAGGUGGGGAUGACGUCAAGUCCUCAUGGCCCUUAUGGGUAGGGCUUCACACGUCAUACAAUGGUCGGGACAGAGGGUUGCCAACCCGCGAGGGGGAGCCAAUCCCAGAAACCCGGUCGUAGUCCGGAUCGCAGUCUGCAACUCGACUGCGUGAAGUCGGAAUCGCUAGUAAUCGCGGAUCAGCAUGUCGCGGUGAAUACGUUCCCGGGUCUUGUACACACCGCCCGUCACACCAUGGGGAGUGGGUUUUACCAGAAGUAGUUAGCCUAACCGCAAGGGGGGCGAUUACCACGGUAGGAUUCAUGACUGGGGUGAAGUCGUAACAAGGUAGCCGUAUCGGAAGGUGCGGCUGGAUCACCUCCUUUAAGAGCUUGAGUGCUCGUGUCAAGUGUCCACGCUUAUCGGUUGU
RNAcentral lists this ribosomal RNA (994 nucleotides) under Bordetella pertussis. Its description in RNAcentral is "bacterial SSU rRNA". It matches the Rfam family "Bacterial small subunit ribosomal RNA", at positions 580 to 1533 of the family's 1533-position model. The record is from RNAcentral. Lineage: Bacteria; Pseudomonadati; Pseudomonadota; Betaproteobacteria; Burkholderiales; Alcaligenaceae.